This 92-nucleotide non-coding RNA is filed under the name Fragilariopsis kerguelensis. The record is from RNAcentral. Lineage: Eukaryota; Bacillariophyta; Bacillariophyceae; Bacillariales; Bacillariaceae.
AAAAGAAGAAAGAAAUAUGUGAGAAGGGAGAGAAAAGAAGAAGAUAUCAAUACAUACUGUUGUCUUGUCAUUUCUCUCUCUCUCUCUCUUUC